GGGAGCGGAUGAGUCCCGGUGGACUUCGCGGACUUCAACUCCGUCUGGGGGGCGUUAGAGCGUCUUCGGUGGGUUCGACUCCCAUGCGCUCCCGCCA
Molecule: transfer RNA, 97 nt
Filed under: Dehalococcoidia bacterium
Lineage: Bacteria; Bacillati; Chloroflexota; Dehalococcoidia
Description: tRNA-Sec
Rfam family: Selenocysteine transfer RNA
Source: RNAcentral